Molecule: long non-coding RNA, 1819 nt
Organism: Cavia porcellus (domestic guinea pig)
Lineage: Eukaryota; Metazoa; Chordata; Mammalia; Rodentia; Caviidae
Exons: 3
Source: RefSeq, a predicted model, not a curated record
UGUUGCCUAAGGAGUCUGGCCCCCUCAUAGUCUAUGAUAACAUCAGCCCCGGCAUGGGAACAGAGACUGGGUAGGAAAGCCUGCCCAAGAGGAGAAAAGGUUCCCUCUUUUCUCAUGAUGUGUGACUAGGCUGUGUUUACAAAGCUAGUAGGAAGUGGCCAACCUUCAGGUGGCUAGAAAAAACAAACAUAAUUAAAAACAUUCUUGGGCUAAUGGAGUUCCUCCUGGGUUAUUGGGGCAAGAAGAACCGGUUAUGCUUGUUUGCUUCACUUAGAUAGUUUAGAUAAACAUUGUAGUUUGUCACAAAGCUUGUCACAAAGAAUGCUAUUUCAAGAUAAUCGUCAGUGCACUGUGAGCUGACCCGGUUCACUAUAUAAAAGCCUAAAAAUAAAGCACAGCAUGCAGUUGCAAUUGCUGUUUUCUCUGCUCUGCAUCCCCCGUGUCCUGAUUUCGUGAGUGUGUGUGUGCCUCUUCCCAGGGUCCCGAGUGCACUAGACACUCACAACAAGUAACGCCCGAAACAGGGACCCCGACAGUCGCUUAGGAGAGGCCGUUACAUUUAAGAAUCAUUCCCUCUGGUGUUAAUCCUAGAGGAACUCAACCCAAUGAGUUAUGGCAAAUGGAUGUUACACAUGUGCCCUCUUUUGGCCAGCUUUCUUAUGUGCAUAACAUGGAAUUCAACAAUGGGUCCAUGGACGAUGGAUCAAGAUCCGUGCCUUGAGGCCCUCUUUGCCAAUCCCGGAGGCAACUCCCCGAGGAACCAUAUCCUCCAAGGCGAGCUCGAAACCAGCUAGAGGAUGAAGAUAAUGAACCUGUCCCUAUUGCCACCAUGGCCAGAUCACAGCUAAGAAAUUCCCGCUGCCAUUCACGGCGACCAAAUUUAAAUCCAAUCCCUACAUGGGGACAAUUUAAAAAGUUAACUCUGGAGGGACAAUGGCUUGUCCUUCAAGCAGGGAAGCCGUUAAACCCUGAAAAUUUGUUUUUAGCUUUAUGUGCCUUACUCACCAUUGCAUCGGGGACUGAGGUACCCCAACAUUCUUAUUGGGCUUAUAUUCCAAAUCCCCCUUUACUGGAACCUGUAGUGUGGGGAACUAUGGAUAUAUUACUAUAUACAACACCAAAAAAAAUUUUGUCAGCACCGUGGGCCGAUUUAACCCCCCAUAAUCAGGAUGAUGGAACAUUGUUCAACUUUACUUAUUAUGGCAAUCUAAAGCCCAUUUGUAUUGGGGAACCACCUUGCAUCCCUCUGUGAUGGCAGUAUUAGAUUCAACAUGGAAUAAAAGCAGGCAGCAAAAGGACAAGGCUUCAAGCUUUGGCUGCUCAAACUUUUAAUGUUACCUGGAAAAAUUUAAUAGCACCUGACAAAAACACAUAUCCUGUAUGCCCUGAUUUCACUUAUAAUAAUAUUUCUUAUAAUCCUAUAAUUUGGCAACAAUGUAUGGGGAAGUUUGCUAAAAAUAUUGAUGGAUAUAUUAUUUGGGGACCAUUUGGAAAAUUUGUUAAUGGAUGUGCUGAAUGGAAUGAGACAAGAUGUAAUCUCUCUGUCAUAUAUAGUCUUCCAGAUCUGAAGAACAUAACUAAUGGAGCUCCCGUCUUCCCUCAAAAGACACAUCUCCUGUGGUGGGGAGAUGGUGGAAUCACCAAUCCUGCUGUUGCUGCCAAAGAGUACCCUCAUAAUCUUCAAAAUCACAUUUGGAAGAUUCCAGCCGCUAUGCAACCUGUGACCUUGUACAAUGUUUCCUAUUCAGGAACUAGUCAAUCUGUAUUUACUACUUAUAAUUUUACUAAGUUUAUGAUAUAAAAUAUUACUGUUUGUGCA